Molecule: small nuclear RNA, 163 nt
Organism: Hyaena hyaena (striped hyena)
Lineage: Eukaryota; Metazoa; Chordata; Mammalia; Carnivora; Hyaenidae
Product: U1 spliceosomal RNA
Exons: 1
Source: RefSeq, a predicted model, not a curated record
ACACUUACCUGGCAGGAGAGAUACCAUGAUGACAAAGGUGGUUUUCCCAGGACAAGCCUUGUCCAUUAUACUCUAGAUGUGCUGACCCCCUCAAUUUCCCCAAAUGUGGGAAACUCGGCUGAAUAAUUUGUGGUAGUGGGGGCUGCGAUUGUGCUUUCCCCUA